This is a non-coding RNA of Corylus avellana, 782 nucleotides long. Lineage: Eukaryota; Viridiplantae; Streptophyta; Magnoliopsida; Fagales; Betulaceae. The record is from RefSeq and is a predicted model, not a curated record.
UUUCUUUGUGAGAGAAGGAGGUUUUGGUUAGAUUUGGAUUUGUGUGUUUUUCAACGCCUUUUGUAUUCUAUAUUUUAUCAGUAAAUUUGGUUUCCCUUUAUCAACCUUGUCACGACAAGACAAAAUAGAAAUGGCAUUUCAUGCGACACCGAAAAAUGGCAGACUUUCGUUAUUUACCCGUGCUUCAAUCCUACCAAUCAUAAUUGUCACCAUCUUUCUUACGCAAAUGGUUUUGAUUGACGCAGAUCACAAUUGGAGGGUGGUUGUUCGAAAAGUUAACCCUCACCCUCCUCCCCCUCCAAUACUAGGAGAGCCCAUACAUGUACUUCCAAAACCACCUUUGCACCCACCAUACAACCCUAAAAGACCACCACCACCGCCACCGUCACGGCAGCCACCACCACCAGCAGGGGGCACCCACUGAUAGACUUGUACAGUUCCACAUGGAAUCAUAAGUCCAGCAGCAUCCCCUAGUAGUCCACAUAUUUGCUUGUUUUGAAUGUAAAAGGCAGCAUUAUAUUGUUCAGGGAAUGAUUUAUUAUUUCAGUGGCAAUGAUAGAAUGUGGUAAAUGGUAAUUGUAGCUACACAUAUCUCCUAGUGUUGUUGGGUAGGGUCCAAGUGGGUGGCAAGUUGAAGAUUGAAGACAAUCAACCCAAGAUACUUAAAGUCCUAAGUUAAAUAUUUGGAAUAACGAUUUUAUUUUAUUUGAUUCAGAAAAUUGUAAAGGACUCUUAGAAUUUUCAAAAAUAAUAUAAUUCGGUCUGAAAAAAGUUUGAGUUAA